RNAcentral lists this ribosomal RNA (600 nucleotides) under uncultured bacterium. RNAcentral's name for it is "bacterial SSU rRNA". The stretch from base 1 to 437 matches the Rfam family "Bacterial small subunit ribosomal RNA", at positions 94 to 546 of the family's 1533-position model. The record is from RNAcentral.
GCGCGCGUACGGGUCGCCGGAACACGUGUGCACUGCCUUUCAUCUGGGGGAUAGCCUUUCGAAAGGAAGAUUAAUACCCCAUAAUAUGUUGAAUGGCAUCAUUCGACAUUGAAAACUCCGGUGGAUAGAGAUGGGCACGCGCAAGAUUAGAUAGUUGGUGAGGUAACGGUCACCAACGUCUACGACUCUUUAGGGGGCCUGAGAGGGUGAUCCCCCACACUGGUACUGAGACACCGGACCAGACCUCCUACGGGAGGCAGCAGUGAGGAAUAUUGGACAAUGGGUGAGAGCCUGAUCCAGCCAUCCCGCGUGAAGGACGACUGCCUAUGGGUUGUAAACUUCUUCCGUAUAGGGAUAAACCUACCCUCGUGGCAGGGGGCUAACGCCUUGCAAGGGGUACCUCAUACCGAAAAUUAAAGCCACCCCGGGCUUAAACCUCCCCGGUGGCCCAAGCCCACGCCCGGCGGCGUCAAACUCACCGCGCAACCGGGCUGCCAACGGCCGGUCCANUCCCCCGGCGCAAACCCACCUNGCGCGCNCCUCACACAACAGCGCGCUCCCCGCCACGCCNCCGCGNACUACCUGCCCAAACNGCCUCCA